GUAAGACUAUAUAUAACAAACACUCGUGUUUAUUUUUUUUGAAAAUUGACAGUAUAAUAAAAGCUUAGUGCAUCGACCCGAUCUUUUCGACUCCCAAAUUAGUUAAGUCCACGCGCUACACGUCUUGGUAAACUUCUUCGCCCCUUCUCUCUCCCUUCCCACUCUCUUCUUCUCCAUCUCACCUAUAACUUCUCCAGUUUUACAUAUAUAUAUAUACCUAUAACUUCACCAAAAUCAUCUAAUUCUCUCUGAAAUUCAGUUUUCUCAUCUGGGUCUGUCUUGUUUUUGAUCAUUCUUGAGUUUUUCUCUUGUGGGUAUUCCUUGAUUUUGCUCAAAACCGUCAAAUUUUGAAUCUUUUUGUUGUGGGUCUGUGUCGUUUUGCUCAAAGUUUGAAUCUUUCUAUUGUGGGUGUCUCUUGAAACCCUUGAAAAAUGGUGCGGUGUAGUAACAAUUUAGUGGGGAUUCUGAAUAUAGUGACACUUUUGCUGUCGAUCCCAAUUAUAGGAGGAGGGAUAUGGUUGUCAAAACAAGCAAAUACAGAGUGUGAGAGGUUUCUUGAAAAGCCAGUAAUAGCAAUAGGUGUUUUUAUAUUGCUUGUUUCAUUGGCUGGUAUAAUUGGAUCUUGCUGUAGAGUUACUUGGUUACUUUGGGUUUAUCUACUUGUUAUGUUUUUGUUGAUUUUGUUGCUUUUCUGUUUCACAAUCUUUGCUUUUGUGGUGACUAAUAAGGGUGCUGGUGAAACAAUUUCUGGUAGAGGGUAUAAGGAGUAUAGAUUUGGGGAUUACUCUAAUUGGUUGCAGAAAAGAGUUGAUAAGCAUUGGAAUAGAAUUCAUAGUUGUUUGCAGGAUAGUAAGAUUUGUGAUACUUUGAUUCAGGAAUCAAAUACUAAAGCUGAUGAUUUCUUCAAGAAACAUCUAUCUGCUCUUCAGUCUGGUUGCUGCAAGCCAUCAAAUGACUGUAACUUCCAGUACGUGAGCCCAACAAACUGGACAAGAUCAUCGACCUCAUCCACUACCAAUCCAGACUGUGCUACAUGGAGCAACGAGUCAAAUUUAUUGUGCUAUGGCUGCCAAUCCUGCAAAGCUGGGCUGCUAGACAACAUCAAAAGUGACUGGAAGAGGGUAGCUGUGCUCAACAUCAUUUUCCUCAUCUUCCUCAUCAUCGUCUACUCUAUCGGAUGUUGUGCUUUCAGGAACAACCGAGAGGACAAUGCUUGGAAGCGUUAUCCUUAAACACUCUCUGUUGAGUCUCGACUGCUUUAUGUUGCGUAUCGUAUUAGACUAUAGAUCACUUAGUAUGAGUUUAUGCUCUUUCUUGUACAGAGUGUAUUUCUUCUGCUAGACAAUUUACUUGUGGCUUUUGGAUAUAUGUGAAUUCCUAUUAUUGAAUUCUUUGUUUAGAAUUGUCUUCUUGAUUAGAUGGAGUCUUUCAUCUACAUUUUUUUCUGUUGAACAAAUUUGUGUUAGAUUUGUAUGGUGGAGAAUUUUGCAUUUCUUGAUAUUUUGUGGGAUACACUCGUGUUUGGUAUCUGUAUUGAGGUUUGAUUAAGUUUAGAAAAAUUCAUAUCUGAG
This 1571-nucleotide unclassified non-coding RNA is filed under the name Hevea brasiliensis (rubber tree). The record is from RNAcentral. Lineage: Eukaryota; Viridiplantae; Streptophyta; Magnoliopsida; Malpighiales; Euphorbiaceae.